UACGAAGGGAGCUAGCGUUGUUCGGAAUCACUGGGCGUAAAGCGCACGUAGGCGGUUCGUUAAGUCAGGGGUGAAAUCCUGGAGCUCAACUCCAGAACUGCCUUUGAUACUGGCGAUCUUGAGUCCGGAAGAGGUGAGUGGAACUCCUAGUGUAGAGGUGGAAUUCGUAGAUAUUAGGAAGAACACCAGUGGCGAAGGCGGCUCACUGGUCCGGUACUGACGCUGAGGUGCGAAAGCGUGGGGAGCAAACAGG
Molecule: ribosomal RNA, 253 nt
Filed under: uncultured bacterium
Lineage: Bacteria
Description: partial 16S ribosomal RNA
Rfam family: Bacterial small subunit ribosomal RNA
Source: RNAcentral